GAGUGUGAGGGCGAUCUGGCUGCGACAUCUGUCACUCCACUGAUCACCAGGGUUGAUUUGGCUGAUCUGGCUGGCUAGGUGGGUGUCCCCUUCCUCCCUCACCGCUCCAUGUGCGUCCCUCCUGAAGCUGCACGCUCGGUGGAAGAGGACGACCAUCCCCGCUAGAGGAGGACCGGUCUUUGGUCAAGGGUAUACAAGUAGCUGCGCUCCCCUGCUAGAACCUCCAAACAAGCUCUCAAGGUCCAAAUGAUGUCAUCAACACGCUUUUGGUUUCUGGUGAUCUUUUUAAAAGGGACCUUCACUGUGUGAAGUCCAAGUCU
RNAcentral lists this small nuclear RNA (320 nucleotides) under Ochotona princeps (American pika). RNAcentral's name for it is "7SK RNA (ENSOPRG00000019394.1)". It matches the Rfam family "7SK RNA". From Rfam's summary of the family: 7SK was discovered as an abundant small nuclear RNA in the mid-70s but a possible function has only recently been suggested. Two independent studies have found that 7SK RNA binds the CDK9/cyclin T complex (known as elongation factor P-TEFb). The record is from RNAcentral. Lineage: Eukaryota; Metazoa; Chordata; Mammalia; Lagomorpha; Ochotonidae.